ACGCAUGAUUAUGACGUCAAAAUGCGCAACGUGGUCAAGUUUCUGGACAACGGCGACAAGGUAAAGAUCACCCUGCGCUUUCGCGGCCGCGAGAUGGCUCACCAGGAUUUGGGUCGCCAGCUUUUGGAGCGCAUCGCGGCGGACAUCAAAGAGAUCGGGCGCGUUGAAAACAUGCCCAAGAUGGAAGGCCGCCAGAUGAUCAUGAUCAUCGGCCCCGGCCCGAAAUAAGGCCAGCCUCCACCUUGGAAAUUUCAUGACCCCCGGCCACAUGGAUCGGGGGUUUUGCAUGCCCCCUUGCGCCGCGCCGCCAGUCGCGUA
RNAcentral lists this unclassified non-coding RNA (318 nucleotides) under Roseovarius marisflavi. RNAcentral's name for it is "Long range pseudoknot". The record is from RNAcentral. Lineage: Bacteria; Pseudomonadati; Pseudomonadota; Alphaproteobacteria; Rhodobacterales; Roseobacteraceae.